AUUGAACGCUGGCGGCAUGCUUUACACAUGCAAGUCGAACGGCAGCGCGGGCUUCGGCCUGGCGGCGAGUGGCGAACGGGAGCGUAAUACAUCGGAACGUGCCCAGUAGUGGGAGAUAGCUCGGCGAAAGCCGGCUUAAUACCGCAUACGACCUGACGGCCAACGCGGGGGAUAUUCGGACCUCGCGCUAUUGGAGCGGCCGAUGGCAGAUUAGCUAGUUGGUGGGGUAAAGGCCUACCAAGGCGACGAUCUGUAGCUGGUCUGAGAGGACGACCAGCCACACUGGGACUGAGACACGGCCCAGACUCCUACGGGAGGCAGCAGUGGGGAAUUUUGGACAAUGGGCGAAAGCCUGAUCCAGCAAUGCCGCGUGUGUGAUGAAGGCCUUCGGGUUGUAAAGCACUUUUGGCGGGAACGAAAAGGACUGUGCCAAUACCACGGUUCGAUGACGGUACCCGCAGAAUAAGCACCGGCUAACUACGUG
RNAcentral lists this ribosomal RNA (484 nucleotides) under uncultured bacterium. RNAcentral's name for it is "partial 16S ribosomal RNA". It matches the Rfam family "Bacterial small subunit ribosomal RNA", at positions 29 to 507 of the family's 1533-position model. The record is from RNAcentral.